CAGAAAGUAGUUUAAGUAGAAUGCCAGCUUUGGGUGUUGGCGGUGGAGUUAGGUGCUUUCUUUCUGA
This 67-nucleotide transfer RNA is filed under the name Macaca nigra (Celebes crested macaque). RNAcentral describes it as "tRNA-Pro". The record is from RNAcentral. Lineage: Eukaryota; Metazoa; Chordata; Mammalia; Primates; Cercopithecidae.